This is a small nucleolar RNA of Suncus etruscus (white-toothed pygmy shrew), 137 nucleotides long. RefSeq annotates it as small nucleolar RNA SNORA70. The record is from RefSeq and is a predicted model, not a curated record. Lineage: Eukaryota; Metazoa; Chordata; Mammalia; Eulipotyphla; Soricidae. The transcript has a single exon.
GUGCAGCCAAUUAAGCUGACCAUCCUCUUCCCCAUAAGGUCCAGAGUGCAGUGGCUGCAGACAGCAAUCAGCCCUUGUUGAUAGUGUAUGCAACCUGUUGCUUGUGUGGGCUGUAAUAAGGGACCUUAGAGACAGUC